Molecule: ribosomal RNA, 261 nt
Filed under: uncultured prokaryote
Description: partial 16S ribosomal RNA
Rfam family: Bacterial small subunit ribosomal RNA
Source: RNAcentral
UACGUAGGUGGCGAGCGUUGUCCGGAUUUACUGGGCGUAAAGGGAGCGUAGGCGGACUUUUAAGUGAGAUGUGAAAUACCCGGGCUCAACUUGGGUGCUGCAUUUCAAACUGGAAGUCUAGAGUGCAGGAGAGGAGAAUGGAAUUCCUAGUGUAGCGGUGAAAUGCGUAGAGAUUAGGAUGAACACCAGUGGCGAAGGCGAUUCUCUGGACUGUAACUGACGCUGAGGCUCGAAAGCGUGGGGAGCAAACAGGAUUAGAUA